This 639-nucleotide ribosomal RNA is filed under the name Salmonella enterica subsp. enterica serovar Braenderup. Its description in RNAcentral is "partial 23S ribosomal RNA". It matches the Rfam family "Bacterial large subunit ribosomal RNA", at positions 2164 to 2802 of the family's 2925-position model. Lineage: Bacteria; Pseudomonadati; Pseudomonadota; Gammaproteobacteria; Enterobacterales; Enterobacteriaceae. The record is from RNAcentral.
GUGGACGCCAGUCUGCGUGGAGCCGACCUUGAAAUACCACCCUUUAAUGUUUGAUGUUCUAACGUGGAUCCGUGAUCCGGGUUGCGGACAGUGUCUGGUGGGUAGUUUGACUGGGGCGGUCUCCUCCUAAAGAGUAACGGAGGAGCACGAAGGUUGGCUAAUCCUGGUCGGACAUCAGGAGGUUAGUGCAAUGGCAUAAGCCAGCUUGACUGCGAGCGUGACGGCGCGAGCAGGUGCGAAAGCAGGUCAUAGUGAUCCGGUGGUUCUGAAUGGAAGGGCCAUCGCUCAACGGAUAAAAGGUACUCCGGGGAUAACAGGCUGAUACCGCCCAAGAGUUCAUAUCGACGGCGGUGUUUGGCACCUCGAUGUCGGCUCAUCACAUCCUGGGGCUGAAGUAGGUCCCAAGGGUAUGGCUGUUCGCCAUUUAAAGUGGUACGCGAGCUGGGUUUAGAACGUCGUGAGACAGUUCGGUCCCUAUCUGCCGUGGGCGCUGGAGAACUGAGGGGGGCUGCUCCUAGUACGAGAGGACCGGAGUGGACGCAUCACUGGUGUUCGGGUUGUCAUGCCAAUGGCACUGCCCGGUAGCUAAAUGCGGAAGAGAUAAGUGCUGAAAGCAUCUAAGCACGAAACUUGCCCCGA